This is a long non-coding RNA of Solanum dulcamara, 1779 nucleotides long. RefSeq lists it as uncharacterized. Lineage: Eukaryota; Viridiplantae; Streptophyta; Magnoliopsida; Solanales; Solanaceae. The record is from RefSeq and is a predicted model, not a curated record. The transcript has 3 exons.
UUCUCCUUUGUUCUCUAACCCGAAUUUAAGAAAAAUAGUGAUUUUUAACUCGUUUUGAACUCUAUUUUUGUGGGUUUUUCAACUAUUAGUUUCUAAUUACUAUUAGAGCAUGAUUUUUUAGCCCUUCCCCGGACCCUGCGCAUAGCGGGAGCUUAAGUGCACCGGGCUGCCCUUUUUUUUAUUAGAGCAUGAUUUUGCAAGAAAUUUUCAGAUUCGAUCCUUUUUGAAAUUAUCAAUUUUUGGAACUGUUUUACCCCCAUUUUCGAAACUCAUCAAUAUGAGUGUCAUUAGACUCCUUAUGACACGUAUAUUUCAUUCAACCCAUCAAUAUGGGUGUCAUUGGAUUCCUUAUGACACGUAUAUUUCAUUCUUGAUAGUGGGUUGUCAUUUUGGGCAUUGAAUUCGAGAGUUGAUCAUCCGGUGGAGGUGUUCGAGUGCGGUUUUGGCUAUCGAGGUAGGUUUGGCUAUCCUUCUUGGGGCUGAGUCAGGAUAAUUAGUCAAAUUCUAUUUUGUAGACUUUGGGAUGAGUUCGUAGUGUAGUUUGGGACUGAUAAUUGAUAUUGUGAUGUUCGUGUGGGGCUUAUAUGUGUUGUGUAGCCUGUGUGGGGGCCUUAUGUGAUAUUUUAUUUGUGAUUGAGACUGUGUAACCCAUGACUUAACUGUGUUAGAGAUGUGAAGAUGUUAUUUGACUUGUAAUGCCCGCUUGAGGGGUUGAGUUGGGGGAUUUGAGCAUGCCUGAGUAUUGAAAUAUUGUUGAGUAAGGGAUGAACACUUAAUUUGAGACAUUUCCUUCCCAUUACCCUCUAUUGAGGGUGAAUAUCAUGCUUAGGUUAAGUUUUGAGAACUUUGAACCUUGUUUUACAUAUUAAGUUGUAAAUUACCUCCAUGCCUUAUAUGAUGUGAAUGCAUUCAUCCUUAUUCAUAUUAUCAUCGAUCAUUGGGAAGUUGAGAUCUGUAAAAAUUCUUUUGAGAAAGAAAUGUAACACCUUUAAAUCCUUAUAUCUAGAGUCCCUGACCGAGGCAGUUUUGCGACACGGUAGUGGAUACAUUGUGAUCCCUUGACCACGAGUAGGUGGCGAGUGAAAGAGAUAUUAGUAUCACGAGUCCUUCGCCACAAGCUGGGUGGUGAGGUAGUUGAUAUAUUUGAGAUUGUGACAAGGUAUAUGGUCUUCGAGACCCCUAUUGGUCCUGCUUAGUAGCACAACUUAGCAGGUGUAUACGACAGGUUGUGCAACGGCCUUGAUCCCACCAUAUCAUCAUAUUACUGCAUCAUCAUAGUGCAGUGCAUUGCAUUGAUACAUGUGAUAAUUGUUCUAUCUGUUUAAUUAUGAUAUUAAGCUGUAAUUAUGUGUUUACUUUAUUCUUGUCGUUCUAUAUAAUUUGGCGGAAGCGUAGCCGGAGUGGGACUUUUCUGCGUGCAGAUCCUAGUCAGGGUAUCCCGCGUGUCGGUUGAUCUUCUUCUCUCGCAGAUAUUUUAUCAUUCAGAUUAGUGGAUUGACUCGAUUGCGGACCAUGAUGAGUGAACCUGGGAUCACUAUUUCAACAGGAACAAAGUAUUGCAUUGACAACAGAAAUUGAAGAUUCUUCUUGAUAAAUGAAGGUACUUAAUUAGUCCAAUCAUUCUUGGAUGUUGAUUCCUCCAGUUUCUCCAGAAUACACAACGCACCAUCUUAUCUAUAUGAUGUCUUGUUGAAGCCUAAUCUAAGAUAGUUGCUUUUAGUUCUUCCAUAUAUUCCCAGUGGUCAAGUUUUGGUGGCCCUAAAAUGUGAUAAAACUAUU